UAAAAUUACAUUAAUUCAAAUAAUACAGGAUUUUAAAAUUAAUAACAUUACAAUAAUUAAAAAUUAGGUAAAACAACUAAAAGAAUUUAAAAAAUUAGAAUUUUAAAAUUAAACAAAUCAAAAAUUAAAUAAAUAAUCUUAAUAAAAAAACAAAAAUAUAAAAAGAAUUAAAAGAAUAGAAAUUUAAAAUUAGAAAAGAUAAUUAAAAUAAAAAAACCCUACCCCUCGCCGCCCAUUUCCUUUCUUUUCUUCCCCCACCGCCUCUCAUUUUCUGUUUCUGUUCUUUCUUCCUCCAGUUCUUUGCAAAUCCUCUUUUUAUUUAUUUUAAAUUGUGAGUGCACACCACGUAAAAUCAUUUUCCCACUUGGUGCCCAGCACCAACAAUAGUAUCUAGCAUGAGCCGCAGCG
Molecule: long non-coding RNA, 408 nt
Filed under: Salvia miltiorrhiza (redroot sage)
Lineage: Eukaryota; Viridiplantae; Streptophyta; Magnoliopsida; Lamiales; Lamiaceae
Description: long non-coding RNA (SMIL_LNC008796)
Source: RNAcentral